UUCUGCAUCGAUCAGACCAUAUCAGCUACACAAAUCAUGGCCAAUCUCCAAACUGAUUUGAAUUACAACUUUUUGUGUUGACCAUCUAUGAACAUCUCAUGUACUUCUAUCUGUAGGAGCAUAGGUUCAAAGAGUGUUUAAAGCUUUGGCGGUGUGGCGCCAGCCACCCAAUAUUCUUCCAGUAAUUAUCUCCUUAGCCAUACCAUGUUUAUAGAGUUGGGGAAAUACACUUUGGUUCCUGAUUGUAUAUGUACCCUAUAUAAGGAAUUUUUCUUAAUAAUCAAAUAAAANNNNNNNNNNGAAAACAGUUCAGAAGUAUUUUUAUUAAACUUGACUUUGUUUUGCACUAGUAUAUAAUUUUUCAAAAAAUAAAACCAAUAUUGACUUCUGGGCAAAAAAACAAAAUUUAUUUGUUAUUAUAUAUAGGUAACUAUUCAUGCUAUUUUGACCGAAAAUUUCUUUUUAGAAAAUAAGUCAAAAUGUAAUUUUAUUUUUGUGAAUUUUUCUCACAUGUACAAUGAAAGGUCAAGUUUAUUUUGAAAAUAUUUUUAGAUUUUGACUUUUUAUUGAAAUUUUAAUUUGUUUUUGCAUAUAGGAUGUAGAUACACGCAGGAACCAAAAGUUCACAUCCAUAGAGUUGGCAUCUAAUGAAUGUUUAGUUAUUUCCUUCAUCCUUAAAGUUAGAAAAGCCGCAAGUAGGGCUUCCAGAAAGAAUGAAUUAAAGACCCUUUUCUGCGCAAGAAUUGCUCGUGUUUUGCAGGCCAUGUUCAUAGAACUUAUGUCUGGUUUUCUAUCUACUGUGCCNNNNNNNNNNNNNNNNNNNNNNNNNNNNNNNNNNNNNNNNNNNNNNNNNNNNNNNNNNNNNNNNNNNNNNNNNNNNNNNNNNNNNNNNNNNNNNNNNNNNGUUCUACUUUCACUACACCACGACACUGCAUUCCCUACGGACGGGUGUUGGGAAAAGUCAGUAUCGCCGACCAACUGUUUGUCAGGAAAGCUUAUGACAAACAGUCGGUCGGGAAAUCUAACUAACAAUAACAAACAGUCGGUCGGUAAUACCAGAAACUGUCCUGUCGAGCGGUCGGUCGGGAAAGGUCUUGUGCCCAUCGGACCGUCGGUCGGCAAAUAAUCCCGACCAACAGUCGGACACUAAAUGGGCCUAACGCGGGAAUCACCAAAUUUUAGCGCCAAUUCAGCCCAACUCGCGGUCUUUUUCCCUUAUUUUUCCCCUGCCUUAUCUUCUCCAACGCAAAAAGCUCCCGUGCAUGCCUCACCAGCCCCGCCGCCCGCGCCAUCCCCCGCCGUCCCCCGCCGCCCGCGCCGUCCCCUGCCGCCCAGCUCCUCGNNNNNNNNNNUUUUUCUCCCUUUCAAAAAAGAAAUACUGCUGCAUCGUUGUGUUUCUCUUCCCCGAGAUAAGGAGGACGUAUGUCCAUGCAAUAAACCAAGAACAAGAAGUUGACCAAAAGUUAAGCUUCCAUUUCUGACACAUCCCAUUUCUAUGAAAUCUGGCAUCACAUCUGCCCUGCUAAAUGUGACCGUAAUAGCUACAAAGAGAGACAGACCUUUUGUUAAAAAAAAAGAGACAGACCAAGCAUCGCUUCAACUUAUGCUACUCCACAGCCCCAUGGGGUUUGUAAUUGUACUCGGGGGUGUGAAGAGUGGUUCGCCAUAUAAUGGUGUGCCAUAAGCAACCUAGCUAUUGCACCACUAUUUAUAAUGUCCAUGUGACGUAUAAAGAGAUGUUAUACAAUGAAUGACUAAUUAUUUUUCUUAUACAUUUGAAGUUGGAAAAGGACGUAUACGGGUUUCUGGUAGAAAUGAAUAGUGCACACGUUACUAUGUGGGAAUUGCUUCCUUUUUUUGUUGGGAGAGUUCAUCAUUUUUUUUUUUGGUAUUGCAUUUACAAGAAAACUAAAAACGCUUUGCUUAGUUCUUCUGGGUUAAUGUUGACUAGUACAAUUUCUUCCUUCAUCUUAUGGUGUUAUGCAUUAAAUCGCACUUCACCUAACAAUUUGAGUCUGGCCAUCAGGGCACGACAAGAGGUAAAUCAUUCUGGACCCGUUCCAUUUAUUCUUCACUAAGAGAUGGGAUUAGUUGGUACUCCAACAUAUACAUGCUUAGGUGAACUAACACCAAAGGUUUGGGAGUUCCAUGUUUGAAAGCCUAUAUUUUAAUUCAGGUGGAAAUAAGGGACGCAUACUAUAUAAAUACGCUAUAAUUUCGCUAAUUACGUGAUGUUAUCAACAUGCAACGUGAACCAGCCGGCUGGAGACUGCCGACCGAAAAUUAUGGGACACCUAUUAAGACCACGAGACAAUUUCCCACUACUAGAUAAAACCAAUACAAGGGAUAUGCACAAAAUGGAACAAAGGCAAUGUUGAUGAACAUGUAAUUAAAAAAUGUAAAACAAGCGUAUUGCAUGGGAUUUGCAUGUAUUGUCACUUUUCAGCCUUUAAUUCUUUUGGAUGAGCCUUGAACUACUGCGUUGUCUACACAUACUCUUUUUUUAGCAGGACAAAAGGACAAAUAAGGCUUCUAAUAAAAAUGAAUCGUGCACCUCUUAUCACUGUCGGAAGGGAAGGUGUCGGUUGAACUCCUAUGCACCCACACACACUAUCUUAAUCGAUUACUUGCCUUUGGGAUUGGAACCACUGGCAGACCGUAUCAAAACCUACCACUGCAAGGUGCUUAGAAACACCACUCCUAGGAAGGGAUUGCUCUUUUUUUUAGCGAGUGGCAAAAAAUGUUUGUUUAGCUCAUUUCUGGGCGAGCAUCAACUUCAUACCNNNNNNNNNNAGCCAGUGGCAUCUACUAGACCACUAAAAAAUGUUUGUUUAGCUCAUUUCUGGGCGAGCAUCAACUUCAUACCACAUUGUUUUCCUUCAUCCUCCUCCCGAGUGCAUCCAGCUCUUCACGUGAAUACUUGUCUUGAGGUAUUGACGACAACUCUACCUGAACCACUACUCAGCUUGUUGAUCGAAGUUAUUGUAGACAAACCCUUAAUCAACAGAUUAGCAUAAUAUAUUAGUGCAUUCCCAACGCAUCCCACUUCUAGGAAAUCUCGCAUAAAGACAAAGAGUAGUGAACCUUGCUUCUGCAUCGAUCAGACCAUAGCAGCUACACAAAUCAUGGCCAAUCUCAAAUCUGAUUUGAAUUACAACCUUUUGUGUUGACCAUCUAUGAACAUCUCAUGUACUUGUAUCUAUAGGAGCAUAGGUUCAAAGAGUGUUUAAAGCUUUGGCGGUGUGGGGCCAGCCACCCAAUAUUCUUCCAGUAAUUAUGUCCUUAGCCAUAUCAUGUUUAUAGAGUUGGGGGAAAUACACUUUGGUUCCUGAUUUGUAUAUGUACCCUAUAUAAGGAAUUUUUCUUAAUAAUCAAAUAAAAUGUCAAAACAGUUCAGAAGUAUUUUAUUAAACUUGACUUUGUUUUGCACGAGUAUAUAAUUUUUCAAGAAAUGAAACCAAUAUUGACUUCUGGG
Molecule: long non-coding RNA, 3475 nt
Filed under: Hordeum vulgare
Lineage: Eukaryota; Viridiplantae; Streptophyta; Magnoliopsida; Poales; Poaceae
Description: long non-coding RNA (HVUL_LNC013795)
Source: RNAcentral